CCUACGGGAGGCCGCAGUGGGGAAUAUUUCGCAAUGGGCGAAAGCCUGACGCAGCGACGCCGCGUGAGGGAUGAAGGUCUUCGGAUCGUAAACCUCUGUCAGCAGGGAAGAACGGUCACUGUGCUAAUCAGCAGUGAAUUGACGGUACCUGCAAAGGAAGCACCGGCUAACUCCGUGCCAGCCGCCGCGGUAAUACGGAGGGUGCGAGCGUUAAUCGGAAUUACUGGGCCUAAAGCGCUCGUAGGCGGUAUGUCAAGUCAAGGGUGAAAUCCCCGCGCUCCACGUGGGAACUGCCUUUGAAACUGGCAAACUGGAGUUUGUGAGAGGAUAGUGGAAUUCCAGGUGUAGUAGUGAAAUCCGUAGAUAUCUGGAGGAACAUCAGUGGCGAAGGCGACUAUCUGGCACAUAACUGACGCUGAGGAGCGAAAGCGUGGGUAGCAAACAGGAUUAGAUACCCGGGUAGUC
RNAcentral lists this ribosomal RNA (465 nucleotides) under uncultured bacterium. RNAcentral describes it as "partial 16S ribosomal RNA". It matches the Rfam family "Bacterial small subunit ribosomal RNA", at positions 338 to 795 of the family's 1533-position model. The record is from RNAcentral.